GCGUCAUUAGCUCAGCUGGAUAGAGCGUCGGUCUACGGAACCGAAGGCCAGGAGUUCGAAUCUCUUAUGACGCGCCA
This 77-nucleotide transfer RNA is filed under the name Bacillota bacterium. Its description in RNAcentral is "Firmicutes bacterium tRNA-Arg". It matches the Rfam family "tRNA". From Rfam's summary of the family: Transfer RNA (tRNA) molecules are approximately 80 nucleotides in length. Their secondary structure includes four short double-helical elements and three loops (D, anti-codon, and T loops). Further hydrogen bonds mediate the characteristic L-shaped molecular structure. tRNAs have two regions of fundamental functional importance: the anti-codon, which is responsible for specific mRNA codon recognition, and the 3' end, to which the tRNAs corresponding amino acid is attached (by aminoacyl-tRNA synthetases). tRNAs cope with the degeneracy of the genetic code in two manners: having more than one tRNA (with a specific anti-codon) for a particular amino acid; and 'wobble' base-pairing, i.e. permitting non-standard base-pairing at the 3rd anti-codon position. Lineage: Bacteria; Bacillati; Bacillota. The record is from RNAcentral.